Molecule: ribosomal RNA, 406 nt
Filed under: uncultured bacterium
Lineage: Bacteria
Description: partial 16S ribosomal RNA
Rfam family: Bacterial small subunit ribosomal RNA
Source: RNAcentral
AUUGAACGCUGGCGGCAGGCCUAACACAUGCAAGUCGAACGAGUGGCGGACGGGUGAGUAAUGUCUGGGAAACUGCCUGAUGGAGGGGGAUAAAUACUGGAAACGGUAGCUAAUACCGCAUACCAUCGGAUGUGCCCAGAUGGGAUUAGCUAGUAGGUGGGGUAAAGGCUCACCUAGGCGACGAUCCCUAGCUGGUCUGAGAGGAUGACCAGCCCCACUGGAUCUGAUACACGGUCCAGCCUCCUACGGGAGGCAGCAGUGGGGAAUAUUGCACUAUGGGCGCAAGCCUGAUGCAGCCAUGCCGCGUGUAUGAAGAAGGCCUUCGGGUUGUAAAGUACUUUCAGCGGGGAGGCGUUACCCGCAGAAGAAGCACCGGCUAACUCCGUGCCAGCCGCCGCGGUAAUUC